RNAcentral lists this ribosomal RNA (396 nucleotides) under uncultured bacterium. RNAcentral's name for it is "partial 16S ribosomal RNA". It matches the Rfam family "Bacterial small subunit ribosomal RNA", at positions 523 to 918 of the family's 1533-position model. The record is from RNAcentral.
AUACGGAGGGUGCAAGCGUUAUCCGGAUUUAUUGGGUUUAAAGGGUGCGCAGGCGGCGAGUCAAGUCAGCGGUCAAACUGCGGCGCUCAACGCCGUACCGCCGUUGAAACUGGCGCGCUCGAGUUUGUGCGAGGAUGGCGGAAUGCGCAGUGUAGCGGGGAAAUGCAUAGGUAUUGCGCAGAACUCCGAUUGCGAAGGCAGCUGGCCAGCACACUACUGACGCUCAUGCACGAAAGCGUGUGUAUCGAACAGGAUGAGAUACCCUCGUAGUCCACGCGGUAAACGAUGAUAACUAGUUAUCCGUUCCGAUUGGGGAAUGGGUGACCGAGCGAAAGCGUUAAGUUAUCCACCUGGGGAGUACGCCGGCAACGGUGAAACUCAAAGGAAUUGACGGGG